Haliotis rubra (blacklip abalone) is the source of this 943-nucleotide long non-coding RNA. RefSeq lists it as uncharacterized. NCBI's taxonomy places the organism in Eukaryota, Metazoa, Mollusca, Gastropoda, Lepetellida, Haliotidae. The record is from RefSeq and is a predicted model, not a curated record. The transcript is spliced from 2 exons.
ACUUUAGGAGCAAUUGCAACUUUCGCCACAAACUCGAAUAAGGGAGAGUUGGGCCCCUUUUCAGGCCCUGCUUCAUUGUGUAACCAGACUGGUUGAAGAUGAAGUUACUGGGAAAAAGGGGGUGAUUUAACUUUGGACAUUUCGGUGUCGACUGAGCGCUAGAGGAGUCAGAAAUGCAAGCAAAACUAUUGAAGGUCCAAGUGUAGUGAAUGCUAUGAGGAGAUCUAAACGAGAAGACAGCCGAAAGUCUGGGAACAAGGGAAACUUAAAUGUGAAGAAAAACAGGAGUGAUUUACCUUGUUACAAAUGUGGUAAUACGGGACACUGGUCUAAAGAUGAGAGUUGCACUCAAGAGGAGGUGUAACCGAUGCAAGUUAGUGGGGCAUAAUGUGUAAGACUAAAUUACAAACAGGGAGAAAAAGAACAGAACAUGGCAAAGUAAGACAAGUAACAGAUGAGACACCCAAGAAAGAGAAGGAAGAUUCUAAGAACAAAGAUUUUGUAUUUGGAAUUGAUACGCAUGCUAAGGAAAUGCAUGAUGGGACAAUUGCAGUCACUGUUGGGGGUGUAUCUUCAUAGAUGUUGAUCUACAGUGUUGUUUUCUUUGUUACAUUGUUACAUCCAGUGUAUAUAUACUUCCCCCUUCUUCAUGUUCCAUUAGUGCUUGACAAUGGUACAAGAAUCUGUAUCGAAACGUCGCACUCACGAAUAAAAAAGAAGUUGUUAUCCAUAAAAUUUGUUCUAUAUAGACCUGUCAAAGUGAGGAAAGUUGUUUCACCACGCGUUGGGUCCUUGGGAGAGACUGACAGUUCUACUCCAGUAUUCAAAACAUAAACCUCAAUCUUAUAAUUGUUUUGCAUCAGUGUGAGACAGUUAAAUAAUUGGGUGUAUAUCCAUGCAUAUCUAAUCUUUGAAGUUUGUAUUAAACUGAAUGCAGAAUGUA